RNAcentral lists this ribosomal RNA (357 nucleotides) under Triticum aestivum (bread wheat). RNAcentral's name for it is "partial small subunit ribosomal RNA". The record is from RNAcentral. Lineage: Eukaryota; Viridiplantae; Streptophyta; Magnoliopsida; Poales; Poaceae.
AUGGUUUUGGUGGCGUACGGUCGUUGGGUCCAUGGAAUGAUGGAGUCAAUGACUAGUAUUGCUCCAAGUGUCGGGUCAACUAAUGAUAUGGGACUUGAAGAUGAUGCCAACAAUUUUUCCAUGGUCCAAACGAGAUUCAGCAUACAUGAUGAAGAUCGUUACAGCACACCGAAAAGAACCAGUAGCCUACCCGUGUGUGGGUCAACUUACGAGCCAGAGUGUGAUGACAGCCUACAACCCUCAAUUGGAAUGCGAUUUGAUAGCUGGGAGGCAGGUUUGGCAUUCUGUAGAAUGUAUGCUCAUGAGGUUGGCUUCUCUGUACGCAUAUGGACACAACACAAAGGAGAGGGUGUGUAA